RNAcentral lists this ribosomal RNA (448 nucleotides) under Sporolithon sp. A_Twist-2019. RNAcentral describes it as "SSU rRNA". It matches the Rfam family "Eukaryotic small subunit ribosomal RNA", at positions 1323 to 1781 of the family's 1831-position model. Lineage: Eukaryota; Rhodophyta; Florideophyceae; Sporolithales; Sporolithaceae. The record is from RNAcentral.
UUCCGUUAACGAGCGAGACCUGGGCGUGCUAACUAGGGGCUACUACUAUUUUUUUUGGGUAGUGAGUUUUCUAACCCCUUCUUAGACGGACUGCGGGCGUCUAGUCCGCGGAAGCUCCAGGCAAUAACAGGUCUGAGAUGCCCUUAGAUGUUCUGGGCCGCACGCGUGCUACACUGAGCGGGUCAGCGGGUGCGGAUGCGCGAAAGCGUUUCCUAAUCCCCAAAUCCGCUCGUGAUGGGGAUAGACGGUUGCAAUUUUCCGUCUUGAACGAGGAAUACCUUGUAAGCGUGGGUCAUCAUCCCACGCUGAAUACGUCCCUGCCCUUUGUACACACCGCCCGUCGCUCCUACCGAUUGAGUGGUCCGGUGAGGUCUUGGGAUUGAUAUGAAGGGAGCGUUUACGCUCGUUUCGUGUCGAGAACUUGCUCGAACCUUAUCACUUAGAGGAA